RNAcentral lists this ribosomal RNA (595 nucleotides) under uncultured bacterium. Its description in RNAcentral is "bacterial SSU rRNA". The stretch from base 1 to 511 matches the Rfam family "Bacterial small subunit ribosomal RNA", at positions 338 to 873 of the family's 1533-position model. The record is from RNAcentral.
CCUACGGGAGGCAGCAGUGGGGAAUAUUGCGCAAUGGGCGAAAGCCUGACGCAGCGACGCCGCGUGAGGGAUGAAGGCCUUCGGGUUGUAAACCUCUUUCAGCAGGGACGAAAACAGACGGUACCUGCAGAAGAAGCACCGGCCAACUACGUGCCAGCAGCCGCGGUAAUACGUAGGGUGCAAGCGUUGUCCGGAAUUAUUGGGCGUAAAGAGCUCGUAGGCGGUUUGUCGCGUCGGCUGUGAAAACUCGGGGCUCAACCCCGAGCCUGCAGUCGAUACGGGCAGACUAGAGUGCUGUAGGGGAGACUGGAAUUCCUGGUGUAGCGGUGAAAUGCGCAGAUAUCAGGAGGAACACCGGUGGCGAAGGCGGGUCUCUGGGCAGUAACUGACGCUGAGGAGCGAAAGCGUGGGGAGCAAACAGGAUUAGAUACCCUGGUAGUCCACGCCGUAAACGGUGGGUGCUAGGUGUGAGCGUAUCACGCGUCGUGCGCAGCUACGCAUAGCACCCGCCGUCGGGAGGUACGGCCGCGAGACGUAAACUACAAUAGAGUAGACGGCGUGAGACGUGCCGACGGACGACGACGAGGGAGGUAGG